CAUAAUCAUGAUUGAGAUGGGUCUUUGAAGUUCAUGUCUUGGAACCUCCAUUUCCUGGACUAUCAGAUGGAUUCAGUGAUACCUGUCACAUCACUGGGAUGGGCUGUUGUGAAGAGAGAAAAGGUUCUUUGAAAACAAAUUUGUCUGGGAGCUGGGCUGAGGUGCACGUGAUUAAGCGCAUGUAGUAUGAAGUGAAAGGACCCACACAAGGAUCUGGGUUUGAACCUCCUGUUCCCCACCUGAAAGGCAGACGCUUCAAAAGUGGUGAAGCAGGGCUACAGGCGUCUCUCUUUCUCUCUCUCCUCUCUAUCUUCCCAUCCCCUCUCAAUUUCUCUCUGUUCUAUCCGAUAAAAAUGUUCUACAGGAGCAGUGGAUUCGAGUACUGGUACUGAGACCCAGCGAUAACCCCAGAGGUAAAAACAAACAAAACAAAAGACAAAACAAAAAAAAUUGUUGAUAUUUCUCAUUUCCACAUCUGCCUUUUUCAUAGUUUCCUCAACAAGGAUGACAGGGGUGGACAGAUGGUAGUGGGCAGAGUCAGGGUGUGGGGGUGGAAGGCUAGAAGUGCUAGAGCUUCCUUUGAGUGGUGAGAGGACCUGAGUAGAUAUCACUGCGUUGGUGUGUGUCCCUUCAUCUCUGCAUCUUUAUUGAAACGUGUCCUCCUCACUUGCUGAAAAAGACUUCAGGGACCCCAGGAUUUCAUUUUAUCCCCUCAAGUUCAUCGAGGCUCAGUAAAUAUUGAUUGACUCAGUGAAUCAGUCCCGGAACCAAGCAUAUGAAUUUCCCUCAAGCUUCCCAACCUCGAGUGGCCUUUGUCUGCUUGUGUGUGUUCUAUCACAGGUGCCUGGAACCUAGGUCUCUUUUCAGUCAACAUUAGAGAACCCCACCCACCCAGUCCUGCCAGCACCAGGGUGGGGUAUAAAGAAUGAAGUCUCUAGAGAAGGACCCUGUGGUGGGAGGGAGUGGUGGUGGUAGUGGUUUAGAUGAUGAUGCUAGAAGACAGAAUGGGGAGACAGCCCCAUGGACCCCAAAGAGGUUCAUCCUUGGCUACAACAGACACAGAUGUAGUCACUUCUGGCCUCCCAAGCUCUGGUUCUCAGGCCAUCCCAGUCUUGCUUCUGUGUGGCCUCUUCCUCCUGGGUUCUGUUUUCUCCCUCAGGAGCAAAGGGAGCCUGUGGUGGAGGUCAUUGGGCCAGAGCUGGGGAGUCUGGGAGGCAGACUACAGAAGGAUUUCCUGGCUGUUUGCCUUUCCCUAGAACUGCCCUCUGCACUUUAUUAUUUAUUAUUAUUAUUUGCCUCCAGGGUUAUCACUGGGGCUCAGUGCCUGUACAACGAAUCCACUGCUCCUGUGGCCAUUUUAUUUAUGUAUUUAUUUAUUUUUAUAGGACUUGGUUAUGCAGAGAGACUCUCAUACCUGAGGCUCCAAGGUGUCAGGUUCAAUCCCCCAACAACCAUGAGCCAGAGCUGAGAAGUGCUCUGGCAAAAUAAGUAAAUAAAUAGAAGCUUGGGUUUACAUCUAUUACUGUUAAGAAAAGGAUUUUAGGGAGUCGGGCGGUAGCGCAGUGGGUUAAGCGCACAUGGCACAAAGCGCAAGGACCAGCAUAAGGAUAUGGAUUCUAGCCCCCGGCUCCCCACCUGCAGGGGAGUCACUUCGCAGGCAAUGAAGCAGGUCUGCAGGUGUCUGUCUUUCUCUCUUCCCCUCCUCUCUCUAUUUCUCUCUGUCCUAUCCAACAAUGACGACAUCAGUAACAACAACAAUGAAACAACAAGGGCAACAAAAGGGAAUAAAUAAAUAUUUAAAAAAGAGAAAAAAGAAAUCUAAAGAAAAAAGAAAAGGAUUUUACCCCCUCCUUUCUCAAUUUCUCUCUGUCCUAUUCAAUAAAAUAGAAAAAAAAAAAUGUCUGCCAAGAGUAGUGAUUCAUAGUGAUGGCACUGAGCCCCAGCAAAAACCCUGGAGGUGAUGAAAAAAAAGAGGGGGUUAAUUUACAUAUAUUAAUGCUAAGAAAGAAAUAAUAAUAUGACAUUUAAAUACUUAUGUUUAAGAAAAGAACUCUGAAAAAAAUGAGAAAAGAACUCUUGUUAACAUCUGCUGGUUAAGGAGAGAACUCUAGGGGCUAGGCAGUGGUGCACCCAGUUGAGGGCAGGUAGUACCCUGUGCAAAGACCAGGAUGUAAUAAGCCCCUAGGCUCCAUUUGCACGGGAGAAGCUUCACAAGUGGUGAAGCAGGGCUUCAAAUAUCUCUCUCUUUCCCUCUCUAUUUUAUCUACUUUUUUUUUUUUUUUUUUUGCCAGAGCACUGUUCAGCUCUGGCUUAUGGUGGUGUGGGGGAUUGAACCUGGGACCUGGAAGCCUCAGGCAUGAAAGUUGGUUUGCAUAACCACUACGCUAUCUCCUCCCUUUCCCUCUCUAUCUCUCCUCUCUCAAUUUCUCUCUGCCCUAUCAAGUCAAAAAUAAUAAACAAAUAUUUUUAAAAGGGGGGGCAGGCGGUAGUGCAGCGGGUUAAGCGCACAUAGUAUGAAGCACAAGGAUGUGCAGAAGGAUCCCCGUUCAAGCCCCCGGCUCUCCACCUGCAGGGGAGUCGCUUCACAGGUCUGCAAGUGUCUAUCCUUCACUCCCCCUCUCUGUCUUCCCCUCCUCUCUUGAUUUCUCUCUGUCCUGUCCAACAACAACAACAACAGCAAUAACAACAAUGAUAAACAAAGGCAACAAAAGGGAAAAAAUAGCCUCCAGGAGCAUUGGAUUGAAGAAAAGAAAAAGAAAGAAAGGGAGGGAGGGAGGGAGGGAGGAAAGAAAGAAAGAAAGAAAGAAAACAAGAAAUGAAGGAAUAAAGAAAGAAAAAGAAAACUCGGGGCCAGGCAGUGGCGCACCUGAUUGAGCACACGUGAUAGUGCGCAAGGACCCCAGUUCAAGCCCCAGGUCCCCACCUGCAGGGAGAGUUUCACAAGUGAUGAAGCAGGGCUGCAGGUGUCUCUCUGUCUCUCUCCCUCUCUGUCACCCCUUUCCCUCUUGAUUCCUGGCUGUCUCUAUCCAAUAAAUAAAGAUAAUACAAAAAAAAAAUUUUAAAAGAAAGAAAACUCUAAUCCUUUUUGCAUAUCCAGAACUAAAAGGGGAACACCCGGCUUUACAAAAUGGACUUUUUAUCACGUGACUGACUCAGAAGAUUCUGAAGCAUGUAAGCGGAAGAGAUGAGACUCUGGUAAAAGUAAGAUGACGCUAACUUAGGGCGUGGGGAGAUGACUUGUAAGUGAUUUAAGUAACUAACCUCUCCAUUCGUGUGUGUGUGUGUGUGUGUGUGUGUGUGUGUGUGUGUGUAUGUGUAUGUUGGGAAGAGAGCAGACUUGAAAGAUAGACCUCUUCCCCCCAUUAGUCAAUAGGUCUUUUAAAAUAAAGUUUUGCUAAUUUUGGCCUUCUUUACUCACAGAUAUGUGUUAUUGAUUAAAAAAUUAAAACAAAAAAAAAACUUUUCCCUCCCUCUCUGUUUUACCAACAGCCCCUGUAGAAGGUUGGCAUAAGGAGGUCCAGGCUCCUAGGGAAGUAUUGAGAGUUCUUGAGGAGCAGUGAUCAAUGUACUGGUACAAAAAGACCCUUCUGUGCCAGAUCUCCUUGCCAUUUCCUCCUACCUUGCCAUUUGCCUAACUUUAAUAAGUCACUAGAAGGAAGUGGAGGCAGUGUGUAGAAUGUUCCUUUUUGCCUCUGCUCUUACUUCAGUAGAUGCGGAUCCAUGUGGCAUAGUGUGAACAGUUAUUCUUAAGGUGCACAUCUCGGAUUCUCAGACCCCCUCCCCAAACCUUGGCCAAUUGGAAGAUUCUUGAGGUACUUUGUCUUCUGAGUGAGUCAUUCAAAUACAAUCGUCUCGUUGCAGUUUUAAUCUCUUGUCCCAUACAUAUCUAUCUAUAUAGUCUUUAAUAUUUAUUUUGGAUAGGAACAGAGAUAAAUUAAGGAGGAGGAGAUAGAGAGGUAGAGAGAGAGAGAGACAGAGAGAGAGAGAGAAAGAGCUGCAUCACUGUUUCACUAUUUGUGAAGCUUCCCUCCUGCAUAUGGGGACCCAGGGGCUUGAACCCUGGCCUCUGAGCACUGUUAUGUGUGUGCUCAACCAGGUGCACAACUGCUCGGCCUCUACAAAUCUAUAUUCAAGGCUGUAUAUGAGCUAAUUAAUGUUGAUUUUUUUUCUAGCGUGCCUGCAUAUUUGUGCUGUGUGCUUUCAGGAACGCAAAAGUGAAUCACCUUCCUUGCCAUGCCCUGUGUGAGAUGGUGCUGACAUUGGCAACAUCAAGGACUGAUAAUUCCAUGGAACUUCUGGAAAAACUGUUAUCAGAAAAUUGGAGAACAACACAUGACCCAAGACAAAAUGAAUGAGGAAAAGCUGGGAGGUGAAGGAGCUAGUAAUCUAGGUCAGGGUGAAGAAAGUGACUCAUCUGUGGCCUUUGGGGACUGGGAUCACUGAUUCUGAGGAACAGAGAGGUUUGAAAUACAGCACAGGGACAGAUAGGCUCCAGCCAGAGCUCUCUGGUCCAGCCCCACCCAGACUUGGCUGCCCUGACCCUACAGUGGAACCCAAGCAACAGCGCCGCUGAGUCCACUGCUCCCCUCGAGCCAGCUGCUUGCUCCCAGAACAGGGCUCCAGAGAGAAUGAUACUCCUAAGAGCAGACAGACAGUGUUGGGAAAAGUGUCUGCCUCCCAAUACCUGCCUUAUCCUGGUUUUGCCACAAGCAAAAGCUCCCUUUCAUUUGAAAGAGGCAGGAAAUUUGAAAGGGCCAGCAGGAAAUCUAUCUAGACCUGUUGAGCUGCCUUUAAUAAGAAAGAAGGAUUUGUCCUUCUCUUGUUGGCAUUUAACAUGAUGUCUUCAAGUACCAUCCAAGGUGAGGCAACAGAGAUGACUUUAACAGCUCAUUGAAAGUAAGUGGAAAUCAAGGGGCUCCGUUGAGUACACCUGCCACCAUGCACCAGGAGCACUCAGUCAACUGCACCUGUUACCAUAAGCAAGGAUUCGGGUUCGAUCUCCCCACUCCCACCCCACCCCCACCUGUAGGAAGGAUUCUUCAUGAGUGUGUGGGGUUGGAGAGGGGCCCCAAAUAUUGAUAGCAGCUGUUGACCCGAAACCAAUUGUUCCUUGUUCCGUGUGGAUAUUUCCACCUGUGCCCACCCUGUGAUAACCAUAAAAAGGUGGAACGAGAAGUGAUUGGGGUCGCAGACUCUCCCCUCUCUCGGAAGGGUGUCAGCAGCCCAAGCUUAAGCAUCCUAAUAAAGGCUCUUGCUCUUGCA
Long non-coding RNA from Erinaceus europaeus (western European hedgehog), 5262 nucleotides. RefSeq lists it as uncharacterized. The transcript has 2 exons. NCBI's taxonomy places the organism in Eukaryota, Metazoa, Chordata, Mammalia, Eulipotyphla, Erinaceidae. The record is from RefSeq and is a predicted model, not a curated record.